UACGUAGGGUGCAAGCGUUAUUCGGAAUCACUGGGCGUAAAGGGCGCGCAGGCGGUUUUGUAAGUCUAAAGUGAAAUCCUUGGGCUUAAACCACGGGCUGCUUUAUAUACUGCAAAACUCGAGUUCGGGAAAAGCAAGCGGAAUUCCUGGUGAAGGGGUGAAAUCCGUAGAUAUCAGGAAGAACACCAGUGGCGAAAGCGUCUUGCUAGAACGCAACUGACGCUUAGGCGAGAAAGCGUGGGGAGCAAACAGG
RNAcentral lists this ribosomal RNA (253 nucleotides) under uncultured bacterium. Its description in RNAcentral is "partial 16S ribosomal RNA". It matches the Rfam family "Bacterial small subunit ribosomal RNA", at positions 524 to 776 of the family's 1533-position model. The record is from RNAcentral.